This 90-nucleotide transfer RNA is filed under the name Pseudolabrys sp. RNAcentral's name for it is "tRNA-Ser". It matches the Rfam family "tRNA". Rfam says of the family: Transfer RNA (tRNA) molecules are approximately 80 nucleotides in length. Their secondary structure includes four short double-helical elements and three loops (D, anti-codon, and T loops). Lineage: Bacteria; Pseudomonadati; Pseudomonadota; Alphaproteobacteria; Hyphomicrobiales; Xanthobacteraceae. The record is from RNAcentral.
GGAGAGGUGGCAGAGCGGUUGAACGCACCGCACUCGAAAUGCGGCAUGGGUGCAAGCCCAUCGGGGGUUCGAAUCCCUCCCUCUCCGCCA